This 750-nucleotide ribosomal RNA is filed under the name uncultured bacterium. RNAcentral's name for it is "bacterial SSU rRNA". It matches the Rfam family "Bacterial small subunit ribosomal RNA", at positions 43 to 789 of the family's 1533-position model. The record is from RNAcentral.
CAGGCCUAACACAUGCAAGUCGAACGCUGAAGCUCAGCUUUUGUUGGGUGGAUGAGUGGCGAACGGGUGAGUAACACGUGAGUAACCUGCCCUCUUCUUUGGGAUAACGCCCGGAAACGGGUGCUAAUACUGGAUAUUCACUGAUCUUCGCAUGGGGGUUGGUGGAAAGGUUUGUUCUGGUGGGGGAUGGGCUCGCGGCCUAUCAGCUUGUUGGUGGGGUGAUGGCCUACCAAGGCUUUGACGGGUAGCCGGCCUGAGAGGGUGACCGGUCACAUUGGGACUGAGAUACGGCCCAGACUCCUACGGGAGGCAGCAGUGGGGAAUAUUGCACAAUGGGCGAAAGCCUGAUGCAGCGACGCCGCGUGAGGGAUGGAGGCCUUCGGGUUGUAAACCUCUUUCGCUCAUGGUCAAGCCGCGACUUUGGUUGUGGUGAGGGUAGUGGGUAAAGAAGCGCCGGCUAACUACGUGCCAGCAGCCGCGGUAAUACGUAGGGCGCGAGCGUUGUCCGGAAUUAUUGGGCGUAAAGGGCUUGUAGGCGGUUGGUCGCGUCUGCCGUGAAAUUCUCUGGCUUAACUGGGGGCGUGCGGUGGGUACGGGCUGACUUGAGUGCGGUAGGGGAGACUGGAACUCCUGGUGUAGCGGUGGAAUGCGCAGAUAUCAGGAAGAACACCGGUGGCGAAGGCGGGUCUCUGGGCCGUUACUGACGCUGAGGAGCGAAAGCGUGGGGAGCGAACAGGAUUAGAUACCCUG